This 268-nucleotide long non-coding RNA is filed under the name Linum usitatissimum (flax). Its description in RNAcentral is "long non-coding RNA (LUSI_LNC000728)". Lineage: Eukaryota; Viridiplantae; Streptophyta; Magnoliopsida; Malpighiales; Linaceae. The record is from RNAcentral.
CCAGAACUCAGUUUUAAAGUUACUUUCCCUUUUUCAACUACUGCUGCAAUGCUGGAAUUUCCCAUGAAGACUUGAUCUCCCUGUCCUGCAUCUUCAAACUCAGAAAACAUUCCUCUUAUGCCACAUAAGUGUCGUGAUGCUCCAGAAUCAAUAACCCAUUCUGUGUCGUUCUCUAUCAUGUUGACUUCAGAAACGACAGCAGAAAAGGUAAUGAGCUCUCCUUUUCCCCCCGUAGGUUCUACAAUGUUGACUUGAGUUCUGAACUCUC